GGGUUGUGAGGUUAAGCGACUAAGCGUACACGGUGGAUGCCCUGGCAGUCAGAGGCGAUGAAGGACGUGCUAAUCUGCGAUAAGCGUCGGUAAGGUGAUAUGAACCGUUAUAACCGGCGAUUUCCGAAUGGGGAAACCCAGUGUGAUUCGUCACACUAUCAUUAACUGAAUCCAUAGGUUAAUGAGGCGAACCGGGGGAACUGAAACAUCUAAGUACCCCGAGGAAAAGAAAUCAACCGAGAUUCCCCCAGUAGCGGCGAGCGAACGGGGAGCAGCCCAGAGCCUGAAUCAGUGUGUGUGUUAGUGGAAGCGUCUGGAAAGGCGCGCGAUACAGGGUGACAGCCCCGUACACAAAAAUGCACAUGCUGUGAGCUCGAUGAGUAGGGCGGGACACGUGGUAUCCUGUCUGAAUAUGGGGGGACCAUCCUCCAAGGCUAAAUACUCCUGACUGACCGAUAGUGAACCAGUACCGUGAGGGAAAGGCGAAAAGAACCCCGGCGAGGGGAGUGAAAAAGAACCUGAAACCGUGUACGUACAAGCAGUGGGAGCACAGAGCAAUCUGUGUGACUGCGUACCUUUUGUAUAAUGGGUCAGCGACUUAUAUUCUGUAGCAAGGUUAACCGAAUAGGGGAGCCGAAGGGAAACCGAGUCUUAACUGGGCGUUAAGUUGCAGGGUAUAGACCCGAAACCCGGUGAUCUAGCCAUGGGCAGGUUGAAGGUUGGGUAACACUAACUGGAGGACCGAACCGACUAAUGUUGAAAAAUUAGCGGAUGACUUGUGGCUGGGGGUGAAAGGCCAAUCAAACCGGGAGAUAGCUGGUUCUCCCCGAAAGCUAUUUAGGUAGCGCCUCGUGAAUUCAUCUCCGGGGGUAGAGCACUGUUUCGGCAAGGGGGUCAUCCCGACUUACCAACCCGAUGCAAACUGCGAAUACCGGAGAAUGUUAUCACGGGAGACACACGGCGGGUGCUAACGUCCGUCGUGAAGAGGGAAACAACCCAGACCGCCAGCUAAGGUCCCAAAGUCAUGGUUAAGUGGGAAACGAUGUGGGAAGGCCCAGACAGCCAGGAUGUUGGCUUAGAAGCAGCCAUCAUUUAAAGAAAGCGUAAUAGCUCACUGGUCGAGUCGGCCUGCGCGGAAGAUGUAACGGGGCUAAACCAUGCACCGAAGCUGCGGCAGCGACGCUGAUGCGUUGUUGGGUAGGGGAGCGUUCUGUAAGCCUGCGAAGGUGUGCUGUGAGGCAUGCUGGAGGUAUCAGAAGUGCGAAUGCUGACAUAAGUAACGAUAAAGCGGGUGAAAAGCCCGCUCGCCGGAAGACCAAGGGUUCCUGUCCAACGUUAAUCGGGGCAGGGUGAGUCGACCCCUAAGGCGAGGCCGAAAGGCGUAGUCGAUGGGAAACAGGUUAAUAUUCCUGUACUUGGUGUUACUGCGAAGGGGGGACGGAGAAGGCUAUGUUGGCCGGGCGACGGUUGUCCCGGUUUAAGCGUGUAGGCUGGUUUUCCAGGCAAAUCCGGAAAAUCAAGGCUGAGGCGUGAUGACGAGGCACUACGGUGCUGAAGCAACAAAUGCCCUGCUUCCAGGAAAAGCCUCUAAGCAUCAGGUAACAUCAAAUCGUACCCCAAACCGACACAGGUGGUCAGGUAGAGAAUACCAAGGCGCUUGAGAGAACUCGGGUGAAGGAACUAGGCAAAAUGGUGCCGUAACUUCGGGAGAAGGCACGCUGAUACGUAGGUGAAGUCCCUCGCGGAUGGAGCUGAAAUCAGUCGAAGAUACCAGCUGGCUGCAACUGUUUAUUAAAAACACAGCACUGUGCAAACACGAAAGUGGACGUAUACGGUGUGACGCCUGCCCGGUGCCGGAAGGUUAAUUGAUGGGGUCAGCGCAAGCGAAGCUCUUGAUCGAAGCCCCGGUAAACGGCGGCCGUAACUAUAACGGUCCUAAGGUAGCGAAAUUCCUUGUCGGGUAAGUUCCGACCUGCACGAAUGGCGUAAUGAUGGCCAGGCUGUCUCCACCCGAGACUCAGUGAAAUUGAACUCGCUGUGAAGAUGCAGUGUACCCGCGGCAAGACGGAAAGACCCCGUGAACCUUUACUAUAGCUUGACACUGAACAUUGAGCCUUGAUGUGUAGGAUAGGUGGGAGGCUUUGAAGUGUGGACGCCAGUCUGCAUGGAGCCGACCUUGAAAUACCACCCUUUAAUGUUUGAUGUUCUAACGUUGACCCGUAAUCCGGGUUGCGGACAGUGUCUGGUGGGUAGUUUGACUGGGGCGGUCUCCUCCUAAAGAGUAACGGAGGAGCACGAAGGUUGGCUAAUCCUGGUCGGACAUCAGGAGGUUAGUGCAAUGGCAUAAGCCAGCUUGACUGCGAGCGUGACGGCGCGAGCAGGUGCGAAAGCAGGUCAUAGUGAUCCGGUGGUUCUGAAUGGAAGGGCCAUCGCUCAACGGAUAAAAGGUACUCCGGGGAUAACAGGCUGAUACCGCCCAAGAGUUCAUAUCGACGGCGGUGUUUGGCACCUCGAUGUCGGCUCAUCACAUCCUGGGGCUGAAGUAGGUCCCAAGGGUAUGGCUGUUCGCCAUUUAAAGUGGUACGCGAGCUGGGUUUAGAACGUCGUGAGACAGUUCGGUCCCUAUCUGCCGUGGGCGCUGGAGAACUGAGGGGGGCUGCUCCUAGUACGAGAGGACCGGAGUGGACGCAUCACUGGUGUUCGGGUUGUCAUGCCAAUGGCACUGCCCGGUAGCUAAAUGCGGAAGAGAUAAGUGCUGAAAGCAUCUAAGCACGAAACUUGCCCCGAGAUGAGUUCUCCCUGACUCCUUGAGAGUCCUGAAGGAACGUUGAAGACGACGACGUUGAUAGGCCGGGUGUGUAAGCGCAGCGAUGCGUUGAGCUAACCGGUACUAAUGAACCGUGAGGCUUAACCUUACAACGCCGAAG
RNAcentral lists this ribosomal RNA (2927 nucleotides) under Escherichia coli O39:NM str. F8704-2. RNAcentral's name for it is "bacterial LSU rRNA". It matches the Rfam family "Bacterial large subunit ribosomal RNA". The record is from RNAcentral. Lineage: Bacteria; Pseudomonadati; Pseudomonadota; Gammaproteobacteria; Enterobacterales; Enterobacteriaceae.